CUGCAAUGUCAAUUUCACCACUUAUUAAUGCCUCAUCUAUUUCUUUUGUAAACAAUCCUUUCCCACCUAUAUCUGCAAGUGGUUGAGUUAAUAUUUUAUCUCCUGUUGUCUUUAUUAUNNNNNNNNUAGCCCCUUCUUCAGCUAGCUCAGAAUGUAUUGCCAUGAGUUUGUCCCGUGUCUCAUAAGCCUGGGCAACUGCUAGUGGGCUUCCUCUUGUGCCAAUUCUUAUAAGAGCAACUUCGGGUUCUUUGGUCUGCUGUUCAAUGGCAACCGAGGCCCUUGGGACCCUCGAACUUUGUUUCCUAAUGCAAUUUGGUAAAGAUCGAGUCUUGAAACGUGGAAGAGAAAACCCAAUAACUGAAACAGACCCACCAGUGCGAGAGAUGACUGAAGAAGAAGGACAUGACAUGAGACCUUGGCUUGUAGACAGGGAAGAUAGCGUCUCCAU
Molecule: unclassified non-coding RNA, 448 nt
Filed under: Hevea brasiliensis (rubber tree)
Lineage: Eukaryota; Viridiplantae; Streptophyta; Magnoliopsida; Malpighiales; Euphorbiaceae
Source: RNAcentral